UUUUGCAAUAUGUUCCUGAAUAUGUAAUCUAAGUGUAUUGGGGACAUUUUGCAUCCAU
Molecule: microRNA precursor, 58 nt
Organism: Oryctolagus cuniculus (rabbit)
Lineage: Eukaryota; Metazoa; Chordata; Mammalia; Lagomorpha; Leporidae
Source: Ensembl